CGCAAGCCUGACGGAGCAAGACCGCGUGGGGGAGGAAGGCUCUUGGGUUGUAAACCUCUUUUCUCAGGGAAGAAGCUCUGACGGUACCUGAGGAAUCAGCCUCGGCUAACUCCGUGCCAGCAGCCGCGGUAAUACGGAGGAGGCAAGCGUUAUCCGGAAUUAUUGGGCGUAAAGAGUCCGUAGGUGGUUCAUCAAGUCUGCUGUUAAAGCGUGCAGCUCAACUGCAUAUAGGCAGUGGAAACUGUUGAACUAGAGUAUGGUAGGGGUAGGGGGAAUUCCCGGUGUAGCGGUGAAAUGCGUAGAGAUCGGGAAGAACAUCGGUGGCGAAAGCGCUCUACUGGACGGCAACUGACACUCAGGGACGAAAGCUAGGGGAGCG
Molecule: ribosomal RNA, 379 nt
Filed under: uncultured cyanobacterium
Lineage: Bacteria; Bacillati; Cyanobacteriota
Description: bacterial SSU rRNA
Rfam family: Bacterial small subunit ribosomal RNA
Source: RNAcentral